GACGAACGCUGGCGGCGUGCUUAACACAUGCAAGUCGAACGGAAAGGCCCUGCUUUUGUGGGGUGCUCGAGUGGCGAACGGGUGAGUAACACGUGAGUAACCUGCCCUUGACUUUGGGAUAACUUCAGGAAACUGGGGCUAAUACCGUAUAGGAGCUCCUGCUGCAUGGUGGGGGUUGGAAAGUUUCGGCGGUAGGGGAUGGACUCGCGGCUUAUCAGCUUGUUGGUGGGGUAGUGGCUUACCAAGGGUUUGACGGGUAGCCGGCCUGAGAGGGUGACCGGCCACAUUGGGACUGAGAGACGGCCCAGACUCCUACGGGAGGCAGCAGUGGGGAAUAUUGCACAAUGGGCGGAAGCCUGAUGCAGCAACGCCGCGUGCGGGAUGACGGCCUUCGGGUUGUAAACCGCUUUCGCCUGUGACGAAGCGUGAGUGACGGUAAUGGGUAAAGAAGCACCGGCUAACUACGUG
This 468-nucleotide ribosomal RNA is filed under the name uncultured bacterium. RNAcentral describes it as "partial 16S ribosomal RNA". It matches the Rfam family "Bacterial small subunit ribosomal RNA", at positions 28 to 507 of the family's 1533-position model. The record is from RNAcentral.